This 492-nucleotide ribosomal RNA is filed under the name uncultured bacterium. RNAcentral's name for it is "partial 16S ribosomal RNA". It matches the Rfam family "Bacterial small subunit ribosomal RNA", at positions 29 to 507 of the family's 1533-position model. The record is from RNAcentral.
AGUGAACGCUGGCGGUAGGCCUAACACAUACAAGUCGAACGGCAGCACAGUAAGAGCUUGCUCUUACGGGUGGCGAGUGGCGGACGGGUGAGGAAUACAUCGGAAUCUACUUUUUCGUGGGGGAUAACGUAGGGAAACUUACGCUAAUACCGCAUACGACCUACGGGUGAAAGCAGGGGAUCUUCGGACCUUGCGCGAUUGAAUGAGCCGAUGCCGGAUUAGCUAGUUGGCGGGGUAAAGGCCCACCAAGGCGACGAUCCGUAGCUGGUCUGAGAGGAUGAUCAGCCACACUGGAACUGAGACACGGUCCAGACUCCUACGGGAGGCAGCAGUGGGGAAUAUUGGACAAUGGGCGCAAGCCUGAUCCAGCCAUACCGCGUGGGUGAAGAAGGCCUUCGGGUUGUAAAGCCCUUUUGUUGGGAAAGAAAAGCAGCAGGUUAAUACCCCGCUGUUCUGACGGUACCCAAAGAAUAAGCACCGGCUAACUUCGUG